AGUGAACGCUGGCGGCAGGCCUAACACAUGCAAGUCGAACGGCAGCACAGGAGAGCUUGCUCUCUGGGUGGCGAGUGGCGGACGGGUGAGGAAUACAUCGGAAUCUACCUUUUCGUGGGGGAUAACGUAGGGAAACUUACGCUAAUACCGCAUACGACCUUAGGGUGAAAGCGGAGGACCUUCGGGCUACGCGCGGAUAGAUGAGCCGAUGUCGGAUUAGCUAGUUGGCGGGGUAAAGGCCCACCAAGGCGACGAUCCGUAGCUGGUCUGAGAGGAUGAUCAGCCACACUGGUACUGAGACACGGUCCAGACUCCUACGGGAGGCAGCAGUGGGGAAUAUUGGACAAUGGGCGCAAGCCUGAUCCAGCCAUGCCGCGUGGGUGAAGAAGGCCUUCGGGUUGUAAAGCCCUUUUGUUGGGAAAGAAAAGCAGCCGGUUAAUACCCGGUUGUUCUGACGGUACCCAAAGAAUAAGCACCGGCUAACUUCGUGCCAGCCGCCGCCGUAA
This 506-nucleotide ribosomal RNA is filed under the name uncultured bacterium. RNAcentral describes it as "partial 16S ribosomal RNA". It matches the Rfam family "Bacterial small subunit ribosomal RNA", at positions 29 to 523 of the family's 1533-position model. The record is from RNAcentral.